GAUGAAGAACGUAGCGAAAUGCGAUAAGUAGUGUGAAUUGCAGAAUUCAGUGAAACAUCGAAUCUUUGAACGCACAUUGCGCCCCUUGGUAUUCCAUGGGGCAUGCCUGUUCGAGCGUCAUUUGUACCUUCAAGCUCUGCUUGGUGUUGGGUGUUUGUCUCGCCUCUGCGUGUAGACUCGCCUCAAAACAAUUGGCAGCCGGCGUAUUGAUUUCGGAGCGCAGUACAUCUCGCGCUUUGCACUCAUAACGACGACGUCCAAAAGUACAUUUUUACACUCUUGACCUCGGAUCAGGUAGGGAUACCCGCUGAACUUAAGCAUAUCAAUAAGCGGAGGA
This 337-nucleotide unclassified non-coding RNA is filed under the name soil metagenome. RNAcentral describes it as "partial contains 5.8S ribosomal RNA, internal transcribed spacer 2, and large subunit ribosomal RNA". The stretch from base 1 to 120 matches the Rfam family "5.8S ribosomal RNA", at positions 35 to 154 of the family's 154-position model. The record is from RNAcentral.